UACAACUCAGAGGCACCGGGGCAGGAAACAGGAAAUGUAAAUGCUCCACCGAAGCCCAGAGAGAGCCGCGGAGGCUGAGGCAGCAUGCAGGCACCCGGCUGGGUCCCGCUGCUGAGCGCCCUGCUCCUCGCCCAGGAGGGCAACGGCUCCGAAAACAGUGAGGAUGGUUCUGGCUAUGGAUCACCAGCAUUACCCACCACCAUAGUGAUACCUUCUCCUGCUGUGACUCCUGUGUCCUCUACAACUGUGGGCAGCACCCAGCCAGUACUGGUCUCUACAAGGCCUACUGAAGGCAGCUCUGAAGCGGAAAGUAUUCCAAGCACCAAACUGCAUGACAUGAGCAAUAACGAGAGCCUAGAGACGGAGGAGCCAUCUGUCUUGGUGUAUGCUGUCCCUGCUGUGGUGCUGGCCCUGCUGAUUAUGCUGGUUAUAGCUUUUAUAAUAGUCCAUAAAAGGAAAAAGUCUAAGCAAGAUGAGCUGGGAAGUGAAAAUGUAAAAAGCCAACAGGCAAAGGAGAGGCAGCGGGAUGGGGCGCGCAAGAGCUGCCCCACGGGGACCCAUGGAGCAUCUGCCCCUGGCCCCACCAGCCACCACGAGAUAUGGCCGUGCCACGAGCAGAGUCCUAUUUUUGAAGAAGACACCCCCUCUGUUAUGGAGAUAGAAAUGGAAGAGCUUGAUAAGUGGAUGAACAGCAUGAACAAAAAUGGUACACGGUAACCCCUCUACUCCAUCAUCCCUCUCUUUCUAGCUGACGUAGAUCCCACGCGUAGAAAACCAAUCUGAUUGUGAAUGUUUGCCUACUGUAAGAGAAGAAGAAAAAGAAUCGAUGGCCAACCCAAGUGAUGGUGAAUCAUGAAGUCACAGCAGCCGAGAACUGCUUAAAGGGAAGCAGCACAUGAGCUGACAGACCCCAGAUCCCGGAUGAACUGGAUUUAAACACGAUUCAUCUCAAAAGGCUGGAGGAGCAAAUGCCUUUGUUGUGCCCUGCUACUUACAAUCUUCAGAAAAGAAACAUCAAGAGGAAAAAAAAUAAUAAAGAAAAAAGUGCUAUAGUAGGACUAGGAGGGUGACUUAUAUUCCUUGCCUAGUGACAUUCAACACCAGUCAAGAAAAACAUUUUCCCCACCCCAAAAAAAAGCUGCCCAUGUUGCUGCAUAGCUCUCCUUUUCUGCAUAGUGCAGCACCUAGGAGCACGUAUGGGCUGAAUUUGGUGGGCCGUUUGUUCAUUCUUUUUGAUUUAAACAGGACCCAUAAUUCUGGAUUGCACUGGUUUAGUGUGUUCGAAUCAGACUGUUGAGCUCGUAUCGAUGUCACGUUUACUCUUCAAUUUAUUUUUUGGUAAUGGUGCACUGAUUUGCACAGGACUUCUGCUUAGGGCAGUAAAAGACUAGGACUAACAGACAGCUGUGAGGACAGACAGCAGCUGAAGCUGUCCCAAAGAAUUUGCCAGGAGGCAGCCUGCAGCCCAGCAAGGGUACAACUCUCCUAGCAAGCAUUUUCUUUUUCAAAUUAAAGACACCAUAGAAGUGAAAAAUAUUAUUUCCAUAUUGCCUUGAGUUAACCCACUCCACAGCUCAGCACUAUGCUAGAUCUCACCACCCUGCUCUUCUUCCCGCACAGCGCUGCUCACCAACAUCAACCUGCUUCAGGCACACUCAGCUUGAAAAUGCUUCUCUUAAUCAAAAUGGGCUGGGAGACUGAACAAUUCAGUGCUCAUACCAAACACAUCUGGUAGAUAAGCAUGCAUUAUUCUUAACCACUUGGUCAAGGACUUCAGCUGCAAGAAGAUUACAGCUUCAGGUUUUGAAGACUGAGCUUGGAAUAUCUGAAAGACAUUGGCUUCUCAACAUGCCUGCUCUCCUUCAGUGACACUGGAAAGUCAGACUCCUCAGAUACCUCAAGUUGGGAGCACAGAUAUUGUAUUACUCCCACUGAUUUUAGGUGGCAUGUCUUACUGAUGUGGUUUAAGUAUGCAACACACAAAACUGGAUACUUGUCUGUGCAAAGCUUCCCCUCGACUGUAUUGAAAACUUGCAUCUUAUCACACCUUAGAUCCUUCCAUAUCACAUCCCACCUGUCCUCAUCUUCUAUUUAAAUGUAAAGCUUCCUGCUCCAUAGCUGUUCAUUAUGCUCAGUUUUCUUUAACUUGCAAAUAUUUCACUAAUAUAUGUUCAUGCCUAGCUUGGUUAAAGAGAGCAAGUGAACAAUAACCCCAGAGCCCUAGGAUGACAAUUAAUGCUCACUAAAAUCUGACAGAUACAGAGGAGGGGUCAACUUCGUCAAUAAUUGAGAAUGUGUCAAACAGAAAAAGUGUUUACAGCUAACCAUUUUCCUGAAUGUAUUCAUCACUGAAUAUGAAUUAACUAGUAAUUUCCUCAAAGAGUAAAUAUUUCCUCAUUGUUCCAAGACAAUUUAUUGCAAAUACUGGAUUUAAUAUGGGUGAUGCUAAAUUAAUUUUCCUUGCUUGGAUGAUUUUUAACUUGGAAAAAAUGUUGUAAGAGAUAAAUGUAAAACAUUUUUUCCAAACAUUUUCACAAGUUCCUGACAGUAAAAUCACUCUCUAGAACACUGAUUUAAAAUAAUACAAUCACAGGGGAAUAAGGGGAAGACAAAUUAAGACAAGAAAAAAAAAAAAAAGGAAGCGGAUAUUUUCCAGGAGCAGCUUUGUUAGCAGUUUCUUCCCAACUGAACUAAGUUGCUAUGCUAAGGCUUCCUACAGUUUGCAAAGCAAUAAUCAGAAGAUGUUCAAAAUAAUGUUUUCUGUAACUGUUCAUGAGAAAAAAAUGUGCUUUGAGACCAUUACUCAUUACUGGUUGUGUGGCUGGCAUGCAGUGGUUUGCAACAGCAGUAUCCCGUGGUGCCUCUCACCCCAUAUCCAGCCCACACCACCCCAUAUCCAGCAGGUGCUGCCUUCUCCAAGAAACCAGCUGAAGCCCAGCUGAGACAAAGAACUGGGGUCUGUGCCUAUUCCUGUGGCUUUUUUUUUUUUUUUUUUGGGUUGACUUAAAAACUUACCCAACCCCUCAAAAUGGCACUCUGUGGCAUAACAAAACCAUGACAUGAUGAUCCUUCACCCUGUCCUAGCCAUGGAUCUAGGACAGUGAAUAAUGCACCACAGCGCAUGGGGACAGUACUUGAAAACAGACUGUCGUGCAUAUAUUCUGUUGGUUUUGAAUUACUAUUAGUCCCCAGUUGGUCAAUGGGCUGCACAGUUUCAAGUAAUUUUCUUAGACAUUUGGUUUCCCUGAAAGAUUUAAGUAAAACUAGAGGGAACACAUUUUCUCUAAACUUAUGUUAAUAAGCAUUAACCCUUGUUCUGAAGUUCAUCAUUAGCAAUUUCUACCUCAAGCUUUAAAAUCAUUUUUGCCCAGAAUUAAUCUUGAGGUGACAGCUCUAUAAA
RNA transcript from Oxyura jamaicensis (ruddy duck), 3400 nucleotides. It is a transcript of the gene named transmembrane protein 154, with no coding region annotated. NCBI's taxonomy places the organism in Eukaryota, Metazoa, Chordata, Aves, Anseriformes, Anatidae. The record is from RefSeq and is a predicted model, not a curated record. The transcript has 7 exons.